AGAUCCCGUAGUUUUGAACGAAUCUCUGCCUCGCCCUUCUUGUCCCCUCUCCAUCACCGCCCUGGCGUUGGGAGAGAAGGGGGAGGGGAGGAAAGGGAACCACCAAGCCAGAGGUGCGGUUAGACAACUGUCUUGUCCGGUAACUUUAAUUCCAACCUUCUCACCUCCUGAAAACCUGCUAUUUUACUGGUUAACGUUUUUUUGUUUUUGUUUUUUUAUUACCAUAGUGUGGGAAAAAAGAAGGUUCGGUUCUGUCUUGGAGUGUGUCAAAAUAGAGUUCCUAAGGCACAAUACAGAAUUUUUGAGUUUGUUUUGCAUAAACUUAUUUAGCCAAAGGAAAUACUCAGGCACCUCCAAAAAUGUACUUGAGCUAUUGCUAAAAUAUUUAGAAAACUUUUUAAGUCUUAUUUUCCUUUUUUUUCCCAAAAAGAAUGGAAAAAUGAAAGAUUUCAAGUUUUAAUGUAUUCUUGAAGGAUUGAGAGCCCUAGUUAAUACAAAAGACCUGCCAUACAGGUAGAAUCCAGUUUCAACAUACAUAUUAAGAAUCCAGUUUUAUAUAGGAGGCGUUUUCCACAUCCUGGCUGGCCUCCCAGAGUAUGCCUACUUUGCUGAUGGGGAUACAAGGCAUUCUUUGAGAUGGGAAAUUCUUCAAACCACAUCUUUAUGUUGCAGUGAUGGAUAGGAUGAUGAUAAUAUUGAAAGAAAAAGACCUUAUUAAAGUACAGAACCUGUUGUUUUUUUUUAAAACCUGCAAAAAUAAAAAUGAGUAAUGUCAUAAUGGAAUAUAUAUCAUUAAAGUUAAAUUUCUUCACGUUAGUGACAGGAUCUGUCUGGAGUGUUUGAAUUGUUAUUUCAAAUUAGUAAACCUGCUUGCUUCCUCAAUUUCUUCUUUAACUGAAGAAAUCACUGCUGAACAUUUCUCUUUGUUUUUAUAAUCGUGAGAGUUUUUUUUCUUUUCUUU
This 961-nucleotide long non-coding RNA is filed under the name Marmota monax (woodchuck). Lineage: Eukaryota; Metazoa; Chordata; Mammalia; Rodentia; Sciuridae. The record is from RNAcentral.